AGAUCAUGAUGUGGGCAGCUCCUUAGUAAGCCUUUGUAUCUCUCCCACGCCUCAUAUAGUGACUCUCUAGCUUGUUUCUCAAAGUUGGUUAUGGCUUUCUUCAAAUU
Lactuca sativa (garden lettuce) is the source of this 107-nucleotide small nucleolar RNA. NCBI's taxonomy places the organism in Eukaryota, Viridiplantae, Streptophyta, Magnoliopsida, Asterales, Asteraceae. The record is from RefSeq and is a predicted model, not a curated record.